This 484-nucleotide ribosomal RNA is filed under the name uncultured bacterium. Its description in RNAcentral is "partial 16S ribosomal RNA". It matches the Rfam family "Bacterial small subunit ribosomal RNA", at positions 30 to 507 of the family's 1533-position model. The record is from RNAcentral.
AUUGAACGCUGGCGGCAGGCCUAACACAUGCAAGUCGAGCGGAUGAAGGGAGCUUGCUCCUGGAUUCAGCGGCGGACGGGUGAGUAAUGCCUAGGAAUCUGCCUGGUAGUGGGGGAUAACGUCCGGAAACGGGCGCUAAUACCGCAUACGUCCUGAGGGAGAAAGUGGGGGAUCUUCGGACCUCACGCUAUCAGAUGAGCCUAGGUCGGAUUAGCUAGUUGGUGGGGUAAAGGCCUACCAAGGCGACGAUCCGUAACUGGUCUGAGAGGAUGACCAGUCACACUGGAACUGAGACACGGUCCAUACUCCUACGGGAGGCAGCAGUGGGGAAUAUUGGACAACGGGCGAAAGCCUGAUCCAGCCAUGCCGCGUGUGUGAAGAAGGUCUUCGGAUUGUAAAGCACUUUAAGUUGGGAGGAAGGGCAGUAAGUUAAUACCUUGCUGUUUUGACGUUACCAACAGAAUAAGCACCGGCUAACUUCGCG